AAACCUUCAAGCCUUCCUGUCUUCAUCCAUCAUGCUUUUAGGAGAAUAUCGACCCAUCUCUAAGAAUUUUUGAGUAUAUUCUAAUACAGUCAUGUCUUCUCGAACCAAGUGUGCAAACUCCAUCUCCUUCAGAUGUCGGAGAUACUUUGGGAGGUACUCUGCAUGAAAGGCCAUCAGGAACUGUUCUCAAGUAACUGGAAAGGGC
Molecule: long non-coding RNA, 205 nt
Filed under: Carica papaya (papaya)
Lineage: Eukaryota; Viridiplantae; Streptophyta; Magnoliopsida; Brassicales; Caricaceae
Description: long non-coding RNA (CPAP_LNC016310)
Source: RNAcentral